This is a non-coding RNA of Peromyscus maniculatus bairdii (prairie deer mouse), 4047 nucleotides long. The record is from RefSeq and is a predicted model, not a curated record. NCBI's taxonomy places the organism in Eukaryota, Metazoa, Chordata, Mammalia, Rodentia, Cricetidae.
ACUGCGGCGCCCGCUCGCCCUCCGCCGCCCCUGCGGCCAUCUGCCCGCUCCCCGGGUCCCCCGCGCCCCUGCGACGCCCCUCCCGACUCUACCGCGCAACCUACCGCCGCCAGCCUCCUCCCGAAAUUGCUGCAGAGACCCCUCCUUCUCCCAUCACACCCCUAAACACCGCUCCCAAUGGCUGCUCCCAGACAAUACUGUGCCCCCCUCCACCCCUGCCGCCCCCCACCCGUCCCAGUGGCUCAGCCAGCCCCCUCUCCCCAGUUCAACCUAGAGAGAACUUAGUUGUAUGAGGGGUCACCUCGGAAAGUCAGGCCCCGAGGAGGGACUGCGGCUGAGCCUGGUGACCCAAGCAUGGACGAAGGAAGGGGCUGCCCUUCCACCUCCAUCUCGGCCACGCACGCCCUCCCUGAUUCACUUGACACCGGGUGACCGCUGCCCUCCAGUCGCUAGGACAAGGGGAGUCAGACGGGCGCCUGUGGACCGCAGCUGGGGUAGCAGUUGGCUGUGGGUUGCUAGGCAAAAAUAAACAUCAGAGACACCUCCCAUUUCCUUACAACUUCAAGCCUUUCCCCAGCGUCGCCACUGGGAGAGACACCGCACACCUUCCUUUCAGCUCUCGGCUGCAAGGGUAGGGCACCUCUGCCUCCUCUCAUCCUCCGAGGUUUAAAAGGAUAGCGACACGUGGAGUAAUUUUCUCAGCAGAAUGCGUGGCAGCAGUGAGCCGCAGCAGGCAUGAGCUCUCAAGGCACUCUCCCUGCUGAGACCAUCCACACGUUGCAAUGGACAGCGUUUUCCAGAGAACCAGAAUCCACGGGACAUUUGUUAAGCCACAUCAAAUGAGAUUCCUUGUGGAGGAUUUACUCUUGUGAUCAAGAAACUAAGGAGCCUGGUGACUUGCUGUCUGCCCGUGAGGUGGGGGAUGCUUGUACAGUUCCAGUGAGAUAAAAGAGGCCUGAGAACUAGCCGGCAGAAGGGAGGCUGAUAGUGCCAUUCCUUGUCCUGGGUCAGAGACCUAUAAACCAGAAGAACCAAUGUGUGAAAUCCAGAGAUGGCAGAUGUCAUGACUCAAGUAGAAAGAAAAAAAACAUCUUUCUCUGCACUUUUUUUUUCUGACUCUUUUCCUUAGAAGGAAGACUGGUGCCCAUGGCCCAUGCACACUGGUGAGAGGCACUUUUCCUCAGUCUGCUGACCCUAGAAAAACACCCUCGCUAACAAACACAUGAUGUUUUACUGACGAGCCAGGCAUCCCUUGGCUCAGUCAGGUAAAUUAAGAUUAACACUGUAAAUUCAUCCCUUGUCAACUUGGCACCCAGGUUUAUGCACUUAAUUAUGUUUCAUCUCCAGAUAAAGACCAAAACAAGAUCGGAGUGUUAUCUACCAUCAUACUUGACUUCACAUAACCAAAAAUUCAUUAAUCCAUUCCCCAGGAAAGACAGGGAAAUCCUAGAGCCUGUUGAUUCUACCCUGAGAAUCAAGAACAAAAACAGUCUGGUCACAAAUAAGCAAGCAAGCAAACAAACAAACACCUACUCUGUUUCUAAAUGAGCAAUAUUCAAAUGUUUAUAUAAGGUCAAGGCAUCUGAAGUCACACAACAAGGGGCCAUGAGGAAAAAGGAAACAAAGUUAUUUGUUAUGAAUCUAUACUCACAAACAUACUCAAAAUAAAAUAAGGAGGAAGUAUGUGUGACAAUUAUAGCCCUUGUUUUUGUAGUUGGUUACAUGGUAAUUAGCUGGCAUUUAUAGUGAUCUUUUACUACACAUUCUGCAUUCUCUUUGCCUUCAUGAGAACUCCAGCUGGACUUCAUUGUUUACCUGGUGACUGUGACCAUAUCUUCAUUUCUGAAGGGUCUGGGCCACUUGUAGGUCUAUCUGCAUUGGACUGCAGUUUUCUAAUGGUCUCACAGUGGAGGGUGCUAGGAAGAGGUCUCAGAAGGUGUUACCUGUAUUCCAGACAGAAAUCCACUGUGGGAUUCUAGUCAGGUCAGGUCAGUCACCACAGUAAGCAUCAUAAUUCCCUUCUUGGCCUAUUGACUCAAGGGAAUGAAGAGUUCCAAGAGGCUGGGUGACAGCCACCCCACCAAUUCAGUGGGAUCACUGAUGUGCUUCCUAUGGGGAGCAGUAUCUGCUCCAGGAAUGGAGACCUUUGGUCUAACAGAGUGUAAAUAGGAAUAUGAAAAAAAUAUGAAUAUUUUUGCUAGUCAGUUAAUGGGGGUAAAAGGUAGUCACAUUGUCAUCGCCCAGCCUUAAUCCCUGACCUGUGAGUCCUGGCUAUCAGAGAUACUGCAGCGUGCCGUGGAUACUGAUCCAGAACAUAGUCUAGAGAAGCUUACCCCAGCCCAGGAAGAUAUUAGAAACUCACUGGGUCUGAGUCUUUCCCAUUCUGUUGGGUUAGUUGCUCUAUUGGGUAAGACCAGUGAAUUCCAUGAGCAUGAGUCCUUUGCCAUGAAACAAGUUCCAGAGGUAACGUGACUUGGAAUGCUAUGCUACUGCAUUAGGCAUUCUGUCAGUCUACUGUGAACAGAUUUUUCAAAAGCAUUACCAGUGAAGAAAUACAUUUCUAUGUAGCCUAUAUACAGCAUGGACAGGAGGGGAGGGAGAAGGGCAAGGGUAAGCAUUGUAGGGACCAGGCUACUUUACACAAUUCUCUUGCAUCUUUAAGAGUUGCUCAGCCCUGAUAACACACACAAUGUGAUAAUGGACUAUUGCUCUACAUCAAAUUUUAAGGUUGGAUGGCUUGGAUAAUACGAAAUUCCUCGUAGGCAGUUUAAGCAACACAUUAACCUAGUAGCCUGUGGUCAUGAACAGACUCUACUAAAGGUCCAUAGCAGAAAGAAAACUAUUUCUCAAAUGCCCCGUAGCAGGAUGAAAACUAUUUCUCAAAAGAGUAGUUAUCUAUGGGUGAUGACAAGCACCUUGCUUUAAAAUCCUAAAGACCUCAACUGAAUCGCCUAUAGAGAUUUUCCAGGAGUUCCAAACAGUGUCCUUCUCUGCCACUGACACUUCAAAUACCACUAAUUUGGUAACCACCAAAUGGCAAAGGAGCUUACCCAGCAGUCAGGACCUAUUGCAGAGCCUUCUUGUAUUUGGGGCUCCAAUCAAACCAGUAGUAAAUGAGCCCAAACGACCCACCCCAAUGAGGAAUACAUUGCUUCAAAAUUUUAAACAUGUCUGCUUGGCAUUGUAUGUAUGUCCAGGUGUAGGGGAAACCAUAUACAACAGAUUAACCAUCUCCUUAGAAGAGAUCUGUCCAAGCCCCAUGCCACUGGGCCCCGAGACAUUUCACUCAAGGAAAAGGUUGCUAUAUUUUAAUUGUCACUGGGGCUAAGGGAACCACUUACACUGGUAGAGAAGAUUCAUCAGAAUUGAGAGUUUCAGUGUCCCCAAUUCUAUCAAGUGCCUUCCCGAAGACUACCUUCCCUAAUCAUUGGCCAUUUGAUGGUAGAUAGCCUGUAAGGCUGGGAGCUUAAUUUCUCUCGUACUUCAUCUGGUUGUCCAAUGAGGUUCUGCAUUCGAUUUUCAGAAACUUCAUCCUUUCAGCUACAGAAGGUAAGGAAUUCAUAGGGGCACACACAGAAUCUUAGGUCAUUCAUGGGUCACAAGAGUGGGAAUUUGAAUCCUGGACAUUAUUAUAUUUGUUUGGUGUUUCCCCCACACAACUUUGAAUAGCAAUUGCCAUUAAAUUUCUUGAUUUUUCCAAGACAUGAUUGAAAGCAUCAUACUCGGAACCACCUAACCUCUUGCCCCUGUAAAAGACUGGUGAGGAGUAGCCAGUACAAAUAUUUUGUCUUUCUCUGAACAGUCAUGCCAAUGAGCAUGCGUGUUCUCUUCACUACUGGAGAGGGUCAUGGGAGUCUUCGAUUUGAAUAAAAUGGAAGUCAGUUCUAGAAACCACAAAACAAACACAGAAAACUCCUCCUUAAAAUUAUGUCCUUCUACUGUGCCCAAAUCUGUAUUAGUUACUAUUUAUUUAUCCAUAGUCUCCAGAACAAAAGAUUAGAUACACAGAUUGACAGACAGAUAGAAGAUAGGUAAAUAGAUAGAUAG